AGGAGGUCAAGUUAAAUUUGAUUUUUAGGUUAACAAUAAGUAUUUUUUUUAGUUUAAGUAUGUCCCAUACAAUAUUUGGGACAUAUUUAUACUAAAAAAUAUUUAUUGUUUAUCUGAAAUUCAAAUUUAAUGAGGUGUUCUGUA
Molecule: microRNA precursor, 144 nt
Filed under: Dasypus novemcinctus (nine-banded armadillo)
Lineage: Eukaryota; Metazoa; Chordata; Mammalia; Cingulata; Dasypodidae
Description: miRNA (ENSDNOG00000029914.2)
Rfam family: mir-1302 microRNA precursor family (bases 46-97)
Source: RNAcentral